RNAcentral lists this unclassified non-coding RNA (413 nucleotides) under fungal sp. RNAcentral describes it as "partial internal transcribed spacer region". The stretch from base 1 to 46 matches the Rfam family "Eukaryotic small subunit ribosomal RNA", at positions 1786 to 1831 of the family's 1831-position model. Lineage: Eukaryota; Fungi. The record is from RNAcentral.
AAGUCGUAACAAGGUUUCCGUAGGUGAACCUGCGGAAGGAUCAUUACAAAUCCCCGGGAUACAUCCAUCUCGAUCCGUCCCAAUGUUCGCGGUGUGAGCGGGUGAGAGGGGGAUUAGGGUGUGCCAGUCACACCCUGUCCCUCGCCUCUCCUCUCAUGCACGUAUCCCCCCCCCCUUGAGACUCUUAUCAGUUGCUUCACGUGUACCGCUUGUGUGAGGAAAGGAGGGGAAAGAUAAGAGAGACGAAGAGAAGAGCGGGAGGAGGGAACGAUCGCGGGACAUUCGUGUCGACGCAUCGUUCACUCCACCCCUCUCUCUCUCUCACUCUCUCUCUCUCUCAUCCCUUCUCUCUUCACAUGACGCGAAACCAUUACAACAAAAAACAACUUAUAACAAUGGAUCUCUAGGCUCUU